AUUGAACGCUGGCGGCAGGCCUAACACAUGCAAGUCGAGCGGAUGAAGGGAGCUUGCUCCUGGAUUCAGCGGCGGACGGGUGAGUAAUUCCUAGGAAUCUGCCUGGUAGUGGGGGAUAACGUCCGUAAACGGGCGCUAAUACCGCAUACGUCCUGAGGGAGAAAGUGGGGGAUCUUCGGACCUCACGCUAUCAGCUGAGCCUAGGUCGGAUUAGCUAGUUGGUGGGGUAAAGGCCUACCAAGGCGACGAUCCGUAACUGGUCUGAGAGGAUGAUCAGUCACAAUGGAACUGAGACACGGUCCAGACUCCUACGGGAGGCAGCAGUGGGGAAUAUUGGACAAUGGGCGAAAGCCUGAAGCAGCCAUGCCGCGUGUGUGAAGAAGGUCUUCGGAUUGUAAAGCACUUUAAGUUGGGAGGAAGGGCAGUAAGUUAAUACCUUGCUGUUUUGACGUUACCAACAGAAUAAGCACCGGCUAACUUCGUG
This 484-nucleotide ribosomal RNA is filed under the name uncultured bacterium. Its description in RNAcentral is "partial 16S ribosomal RNA". It matches the Rfam family "Bacterial small subunit ribosomal RNA", at positions 30 to 507 of the family's 1533-position model. The record is from RNAcentral.